This 253-nucleotide ribosomal RNA is filed under the name uncultured bacterium. RNAcentral describes it as "partial 16S ribosomal RNA". It matches the Rfam family "Bacterial small subunit ribosomal RNA", at positions 524 to 776 of the family's 1533-position model. The record is from RNAcentral.
UACGUAGGGUGCGAGCGUUAAUCGGAAUUACUGGGCGUAAAGCGUGCGCAGGCGGUUUUGUGAGUCAGAUGUGAAAGCCCCGGGCUUAACCUGGGAAUGGCAUUUGGGACUGCAAGGCUUGAGUGCGGCAGAGGAGACUGGAAUUCCUGGUGUAGCAGUGAAAUGCGUAGAUAUCAGGAGGAAUACCGAUGGCGAAGGCAGGUCUCUGGGCUGACACUGACGCUCAUGCACGAAAGCGUGGGGAGCAAACAGG